RNAcentral lists this ribosomal RNA (394 nucleotides) under uncultured Anaeromyxobacter sp. RNAcentral's name for it is "bacterial SSU rRNA". It matches the Rfam family "Bacterial small subunit ribosomal RNA", at positions 67 to 447 of the family's 1533-position model. The record is from RNAcentral. Lineage: Bacteria; Pseudomonadati; Myxococcota; Myxococcia; Myxococcales; Anaeromyxobacteraceae.
CGAGAAAGCCCGCAAGGGUGAGUAAAGCGGCGCACGGGUGCGUAACACGUGGGUAAUCUGCCCUGGAGCCCGGAACAACUCGCCGAAAGGCGAGCUAAUGCCGGAUGAGACCACGGGGGCUUCGGCCCCUGAGGGAAAAGGUGGCCUCUGUACACAAGCUAUCACUUCAGGAUGAGCCCGCGGCCCAUCAGCUAGUUGGCGGGGUAAUGGCCCACCAAGGCGACGACGGGUAGCUGGUCUGAGGGGACGAUCAGCCACACUGGAACUGAGACACGGUCCAGACUCCUACGGGAGGCAGCAGUGGGGAAUCUUGCGCAAUGGGCGAAAGCCUGACGCAGCAACGCCGCGUGUGUGAUGAAGGUCUUCGGAUCGUAAAGCACUGUCGCGAGGGACG